CCUCCAGCGUCCAUGAAACUCAGAUAAUAUAAUUAACUAGUCAAAGAAUAUUAGCCGGAAAGUACUGCAUAGAAAUUGCUUUGCAGUGUACAAAUAUGUAAAAGAGAGAGAUAUCAAAAUAGACUGUCAAUUCUUGUUUGUGUUGGUGUUAUCUUUGUGUGAGAACAAAUAUUUACUUCAAUUUUUCAGGGUAAAAUUAGUUUUUAUGGUUUUCAUGCAAUUUAUAUUUGUCAAGAGAAAUGCAAGGUAUUGAAUUGCAGACUGGCUGGAACAAAAAAAUUAAAAUUAUACUCAAUGGACAAUGAAAUUGUUUAACGCUAUUUGAAGUUGGGUUAUGCAAUGCUUUAAUACAUAAUAUGGCUACUGUGCGUGUUAACCAAAGCAGCUUUAAAGUGAAUAGAUGUUUUUGCAAUACCAACAUAUGUUAAACUAAGUCUGAUAAUUGAGAAAAAUACGAAGAGCAAAUUGUUGGUACCUCGAGUUAGGGAGACGUUGAACAUGCUGCUGGUGAUCAAUCCAUGAAUUGCUUGCACAUUUGUAUUACCGACAUAAGAUGCAUCUAAAUCGAUCUUGUUACCGUGGUAUUCGUGCGUGCUAUACUGUUGAAUUGAUAGAUAUUCGGGGACGAGUGCAAGAGAAAAGAAAAAUGACACGGCGACACAAAGUGAAGGGAGAGCCGAGCAAAAACCUCGUGCCAUCUCCCUUCAAAAACACAAAACAAAAAUUUUUAUUAGGUUAUUUUUUUGACCUGCCAAGCAAGCGCACCUGACAUGGCAAAGGCCAGACUCACACACAUUUAACACACACGAACAAUAAUCAAAACAUUCCCUCUCUGUACCUCUCUUUUUAUCUCUCUCGCUACAUAUAAUUAUACUUAUCACAGUCGCAACAAUAAAAUUAACAUUUUCAAUACCAAUUCAAU
RNAcentral lists this long non-coding RNA (922 nucleotides) under Daucus carota (carrot). RNAcentral's name for it is "long non-coding RNA (DCAR_LNC003952)". The record is from RNAcentral. Lineage: Eukaryota; Viridiplantae; Streptophyta; Magnoliopsida; Apiales; Apiaceae.